Molecule: long non-coding RNA, 131 nt
Organism: Pipistrellus kuhlii (Kuhl's pipistrelle)
Lineage: Eukaryota; Metazoa; Chordata; Mammalia; Chiroptera; Vespertilionidae
Exons: 3
Source: RefSeq, a predicted model, not a curated record
GAGUGAGAGUUGCUGUAAGAGUCCCAUUCCCACCUGUGCCCAUGGUGACUGAGGAAACCCCCUCCCAGGCUGGGCCUGAGGCUUCUUCCUCCAGAGCAUUCUGACUCUCAUGGGAGCCCUUACCCCCACCU